UACGUAGGCGGAAAAUUAAGUCAGUAGUGAAAUCCUGCAGCUUAACUGUAGAACUGUUAUUGAUACUGGUUUUCUUGAAUGUAGUUGAGGUAGGCGGAAUAUGUAAUGUAGCGGUGAAAUGCUUAGAUAUUACAUAGAACACCGAUUGCGAAGGCAGCUUACUAAGCCACGAUUGACGCUGAGGUACGAAAGCGUGGGGAGCGAACAGGAUUAGAUACCCUGGUAGUCC
Molecule: ribosomal RNA, 229 nt
Filed under: uncultured bacterium
Lineage: Bacteria
Description: partial 16S ribosomal RNA
Rfam family: Bacterial small subunit ribosomal RNA
Source: RNAcentral